RNAcentral lists this ribosomal RNA (459 nucleotides) under uncultured bacterium. RNAcentral describes it as "partial 16S ribosomal RNA". It matches the Rfam family "Bacterial small subunit ribosomal RNA", at positions 338 to 795 of the family's 1533-position model. The record is from RNAcentral.
CCUACGGGUGGCAGCAGUGAGGAAUAUUGGUCAAUGGCCGGAAGGCUGAACCAGCCAAGCCGCGUGAGGGAGGAAGGCGCAGAGCGUCGCAGACCUCUUUUGCCGGGGGACAAAAGGCCGGACGGGUCCGGUUCUGAGGGUACCCGGAGAAAAAGCAUCGGCUAACUCCGUGCCAGCAGUCGCGGUAAUACGGAGGAUGCGAGCGUUAUCCGGAUUCAGUGGGUUUAAGGUGUGCGCAGGCGGGCCUUUAAGCCGGCGGUGAAAUCGCGGGGCUCAACCCCGCCGAGGCGUCGGAACUGGGGGCCUUGAGUGCGGCGGAGGCAUGCGGAAUUCUCGGUGUAGCAGUGAAAUGCGUAGAUAUCGAGAGGAACACUCGUGGCGAAGGCGGGUUCCUGGACAUUAACUGACGCUGAGGCACGAAGGCCAGGGGAGCGAAAGGGAUUAGAUACCCCUGUAGUC